This is a long non-coding RNA of Ochotona curzoniae (black-lipped pika), 385 nucleotides long. RefSeq lists it as uncharacterized. The record is from RefSeq and is a predicted model, not a curated record. NCBI's taxonomy places the organism in Eukaryota, Metazoa, Chordata, Mammalia, Lagomorpha, Ochotonidae. The transcript is spliced from 6 exons.
AAACUGAGGAUGAACAAGCCACACAAACCAGUUAGUGAUGGAGUGUGGUCGAAGCCAAAUUCCCCGUCUUCCCCAACUGGUGACUUCACACAGAUCACUUUUGUGAAGAGACAACUGAGGACCUGUGGAUCCUGCAAAACCACGGCUGGACAUGGUGCCUGCUGGCAAGGUAGAUAUUAUUGUUCCCACUUUGUCAAGGAAAAAACCUGAGGCUUGGAAAGAUUAAGUAAUGCAGCAUCAUGAGUUGGUUUCAAGGUAUGUUCAGGAUUGCGAUCUCAUUUGAUUCUCAAAACAAACUUGUGAGACCUGCUAUUCUCCUCUGAAUUGACCUGUUCUUGAGAGCUCAUAUUGAUUUAUCUUUAUUGGAAAGUCAAAUCCACAGAAC